AGGACAUGCAAAUAGGGCCUCCCCUCUGCUGAUUUAACCAGCACAGCCAAGAUCCUGCAGUUGGGAGAGGAGCCCCAGGCCCGGGAUACCCAGGUGUUCACUCAGUGAUCAGGACAGAAUACAAACAGCUCACCAUGGAAUUUGUGCUGGGCUGGGUUUUCCUUCUUGCUCUUUUAAAAGGUGUCCAGUGUGAGGUGCAGCUGGUGGAGUCUGGGGGUGACCUGGUGAAGCCUGGGGGGUCCCUGAGACUCUCCUGUGCAGCCUCUGGAUUCACUUUCAGCAACUACUACAUGGAAUGGGUCUGCCAGGCUCCAGGGAAGGGGCUGCAGUGGGUCGCAGGUAUUAGCAGUGAUGGAAGUAGCACAAGCUAUGCAGACUCUGUGAAGGGCCGAUUCACCAUCUCUAGAGACAAUAGCAAGAACACACUGUAUCUGCAGAUGAACAGCCUGAGAACUGAGGACACGGCCAUGUAUUACUGUGCAAGAGACACAGUGAGGGGCCCUCAGCAGCUGAUGAUCACACCCUCUCUUUGUGAGUCCUAUGCUGUGGAGCAUGGGACUCUCCUCCUGGAUCCACUGGAAUACAGGCUGCUUGGGUAG
This is a non-coding RNA of Mustela erminea (ermine), 599 nucleotides long. NCBI's taxonomy places the organism in Eukaryota, Metazoa, Chordata, Mammalia, Carnivora, Mustelidae. The record is from the annotation of a RefSeq genome assembly.